UGGGGAAUAUUGGACAAUGGGGGCAACCCUGAUCCAGCAAUGCCGCGUGUGUGAAGAAGGUCUUCGGAUUGUAAAGCACUUUCGACGGGGACGAUGAUGACGGUACCCGUAGAAGAAGCCCCGGCUAACUUCGUGCCAGCAGCCGCGGUAAUACGAAGGGGGCUAGCGUUGCUCGGAAUGACUGGGCGUAAAGGGCGUGUAGGCGGUUUACACAGUCAGAUGU
This 223-nucleotide ribosomal RNA is filed under the name uncultured bacterium. RNAcentral's name for it is "partial 16S ribosomal RNA". It matches the Rfam family "Bacterial small subunit ribosomal RNA", at positions 355 to 595 of the family's 1533-position model. The record is from RNAcentral.